GACUGAUUUCUCAACGAGAGAUGAGUCUGUGGUGGUUGACGGUGGUGCGGAGACGGAUGCAUGGAUGGCGGUAUGACGGAGAUGAUGGGAUUGAGAGAGGUGGGUUGUUGGGGUUGGUGUGCGGUUGAGGGUGAUGGUGGAUGGGAGAGAAGAGAGGCGCGUGGUGGAUGGGGAUGAUGUGUGGCGCGUGAGAUGGGGGUUGGUGAGAUAGAGGGAAGUGGAAGAAGAU
RNAcentral lists this long non-coding RNA (229 nucleotides) under Medicago truncatula (barrel medic). Its description in RNAcentral is "long non-coding RNA (MTRU_LNC001549)". The record is from RNAcentral. Lineage: Eukaryota; Viridiplantae; Streptophyta; Magnoliopsida; Fabales; Fabaceae.